Helianthus annuus (common sunflower) is the source of this 533-nucleotide long non-coding RNA. RefSeq lists it as uncharacterized. The record is from RefSeq and is a predicted model, not a curated record. Lineage: Eukaryota; Viridiplantae; Streptophyta; Magnoliopsida; Asterales; Asteraceae. The transcript is spliced from 3 exons.
CCCUAAAAAUCCAUUAAUGCUUCUUUAAUGGUGGCUUUUUUUUUACGGAAACAGAGGGCAAGCUACUAAUUAGUCGGCGAUGAAUCUCUGCUUAUGGAUUGUAAAAUGGAGGUUCCGAGUAUUGUUCUUGGCUUUGAUUAUUCUAAAGGAAUCGUACCCAAAAAAAUGCAGAAAGGUGAUGGCUGGAUGACAACACAACACAACUACAACAGGAAGAGACAGAAUGACUAGAGCUAGAAAAAGAAAGAACAUUGAAACUCACAUGAGGAAGCAAAUCAAGGAAAAUAGGGUUGCAAGCGCCAAAAUGAAAGAAGCAGACUCUGAAAUGGAAGAGCAAUUUCAAUUCUUUUUGAACUACAUGCUAAUAAAAUUCUCAGCUAGUUACGAAUGUAAUCUUAUUUGGUAAACAUGGCAAAUUAUGAUAUUUGUUGUUUACAUAUGUUUGAAUAUUUUCCAUGGUACACAUAUUUGGAUACUUUGGUCCUAUUUUGUUUUGAUUAUUGGGAUAUUUUAUAAAUAUGUACAUUUGUGAA